AAACAGGCUCUGUACUACUUGUCCUCACAGAAUGACUAACAGAAAUAUGACCCUUGUGCACUUUUUGUAGUUAAUUCAUUAGGUCAGCUCUAACCACUAAGCCCCUUGUCAGGUUAUUUCUAGUAGUGACAAGGAGCAAUUAAGCUUAAAAGACUGAAGCCAGGUAGAUGAGCCUAUUCCAGGAGGUCUCUUGGCUCCACCCUUGUGAAGUGAAACCUGCCAGGUGUGGAUCAUUUGACUUUUGCUAUAUAGGAAGCCUGAGGACUUGUGGGGAAUUGCCUUCCCGGUGGGAGAGUUUGAGGCUCAGGUUCUCUAGGGUGCUUUUCUGCUGUUGUGGUGGAGCGGAUUCAGUGUUCCUCGGUGGGCUGCUAUUUCUUCACGUUUUCUCCCAUCUCUGUGAAACAGUUUUAGUGACUCUAUGAGCUAGCUACGUUGUUGGUGCCCUCUCAGUACAGUGAGACCCUGGUUACGCGAAGUCACUGUGAAGCAGCGUGGAAGUGACUCAAGUUCAGGAGCUGGCAGUGAAAUUACUUCUGUGGCUUCUAAGCUCCCUUUCCAGCCCUUCCAAAUAUAAUGAGAAUGAAAGCUAAAAAGAAAGCCCCACCAACUCAGAAGCUCAAGUGCUUACAGGCCUGCGUCUCGGCUGUGGAGAAAGAUUUGGAAUAGGUCCACCAGUGAGGAGAGACUAUCUUUCUCCCAGGCUGUACAAACCAGUGUCUGAGGUAUUGGGGAAAGCGUCCUUCUGUGAAAGGAAGAGAGCAGAGCGGGACCACGGCCCGUGCCACCCUGCGGUUCUACCAGCGUGACCAUGCAGAGACGGUGAGAGUAAAGGAAGAAAAAUUGAAGCUGCUGUUAAAGGCAUGGCUACCUGAGUUGUAAAUAAAAAAAAAAAAAAAAAGAGGGAAAAGAGGUUCUCUGAGAAUCGUGCUACUGCAAGGUCCCCAGAUCUGCAGGCUGGCUGCGCAGCAAGAGAAGGGAGGGGUCAGACUCAGGGUAGGUCACCCAAACUAGCCAAAGCUGUGUUUCAUACCAUCUGACGUCAUGCUAAACAAUAUAUAGGAUUGGCUAGCCUGGGGAGGUGUGCCGGACUGCACGGGUUUAGGCUGGGCAUCGGUCAGCGGGUGGUGAGCAAUUGCGUUGCGCAUCACUUGUUUUUACACAGUAUUAGUAGUGUUGUUGUGUCUUAAUAAACUCUCUUUAUCUCAACUCACGGGCUUCACUUUCCCGUUUCUCUCCCCCAUCCCAGAGAGGGAGGGGGGAUGUUGAGCAAAUGGCUAUGUGGUGUUUUGCUGCCAGCCAGGUUAAACCACAACAGUCCAUUCUGGCGCCCAACGUGGGGCACAAAGUUUUGAGAUAAUAACAGAUCUGACCAGAGUGUGUUAAACUAAAAUUGUUAUAAGUAUUAGACUUGCUUAAUAGUUAGUUGUCAUAAUACUGAUUGCUUUUAUCCCAAGUCUGCUGUGCCUGUUUUCCAAAUUGAGCAUUAUAGCACAUUGUUUUCCGUAUGUGCUCUCUGUCAUGUUGUUUAUCCUCUCUGGGCCCUGGUUUAAGAUCAUUAUGGUACUGUGUGUUGUAGCAGUGGCUUAUGAGACGAUGAAAUAUCUGGUCAUGACUCUAACUUGGUAUUUGUACUCAGUGAUGUCGUCAACUCUAUACUCUGGAAACCAUAUCUCGGAAACUAUUAGCAAUUAUACCUAUCGCCUUUUUUCAUCGUGGAGUCAGUCUGUGGCGGGGAAAGGGGAAGAUACUUUUUCAUACUCGUUCACUCUCCCUUUCUCCUUCACCACCCUCUAAUCCUCCAAGCUAGUUACAAUAGUUCUCCAAGAUAUUGAAUAUCCUUGGGAUACUCAGACCAGCAUGUUCUUGUUGUUAUGCCUCCUGAAUAUGCUUCAGGUUUUGCUUGAAGUUAAACAACUAUUGAGGAAUCUCAUCCAGAUAUCUGCCUGGAGGCAGGAUAGUUGCGAGUGGCAGGGAGUAUGGGAGGAUAUGGGCAGGCAUCUAGAGCAGCGGGCACCUCCAGUGUUCUGGAAAUUCACCCCCGAACAACUGCAAAAUCCUAAAAAACUGAUAGAAUGCUUGAAAAAAAGGUGUCUUGACUCUGGCAGUUCCAAAGUAACACAAAUCAUUGUAACGUGCUGGGGCCUGGCUCAUGCCUAUCGAGCUGUACAAACCAGUUUCUGAGGUAUUGGGGAAAGCGUCCUUCUGUGAAAGGAAGAGAGCAGAGCGGGACCAAGGCCCGUGCCACCCUGUGGUUCUACCAGCGUGACCAUGUAGAGACGGCUGAGACCUGAACAGGACAUCGCAGCGGCGCCGGGACAUCGCAGCACAGCGGGAGACCGGC
Molecule: non-coding RNA, 2341 nt
Organism: Anas platyrhynchos (mallard)
Lineage: Eukaryota; Metazoa; Chordata; Aves; Anseriformes; Anatidae
Source: RefSeq, a predicted model, not a curated record